Molecule: unclassified non-coding RNA, 253 nt
Filed under: Hevea brasiliensis (rubber tree)
Lineage: Eukaryota; Viridiplantae; Streptophyta; Magnoliopsida; Malpighiales; Euphorbiaceae
Source: RNAcentral
AAAGGCUGUGAGUUGUCCAAGCUACACUCUGCAUCAUUCUGUAGACCCCGGGAUUCCGAAUGCAAACUUUCCUGAUUCGGAGCAGGAGGGUAUUCGUAGCCAAUAGCAUUACCAUUGGAUUGUUUAGUCCCACUUGAUGAAGCAAUUUUUUUACGAUCUAAAUUAGCCGAUUUUGAUCCAGACUUACCCUUUGACCUAGAAUUUCCCUCUCGUGCAGAACUCGGCGGCGAUAUCUGAAACUGCCAAUCAGAUA